UGAACGCUGGCGGCAGGCCUAACACAUGCAAGUCGAGCGGCAGCACGGGUACUUGUACCUGGUGGCGAGCGGCGGACGGGUGAGUAAUGCCUAGGAAUCUGCCUGGUAGUGGGGGAUAACGCUCGGAAACGGACGCUAAUACCGCAUACGUCCUACGGGAGAAAGCAGGGGACCUUCGGGCCUUGCGCUAUCAGAUGAGCCUAGGUCGGAUUAGCUUGUUGGUGAGGUAAUGGCUCACCAAGGCGACGAUCCGUAACUGGUCUGAGAGGACGAUCAGCCACACUGGGACUGAGACACGGCCCAGACUCCUACGGGAGGCAGCAGUGGGGAAUAUUGGACAAUGGGCGAAAGCCUGAUCCAGCCAUGCCGCGUGUGUGAAGAAGGUCUUCGGAUUGUAAAGCACUUUAAGUUGGGAGGAAGGGCAUUAACCUAAUACGUUAGUGUUUUGACGUUACCGACAGAAUAAGCACCGGCUAACUCUGUGCCAGGAG
This 491-nucleotide ribosomal RNA is filed under the name uncultured bacterium. Its description in RNAcentral is "bacterial SSU rRNA". It matches the Rfam family "Bacterial small subunit ribosomal RNA", at positions 30 to 514 of the family's 1533-position model. The record is from RNAcentral.